This 402-nucleotide ribosomal RNA is filed under the name uncultured bacterium. RNAcentral's name for it is "bacterial SSU rRNA". It matches the Rfam family "Bacterial small subunit ribosomal RNA", at positions 355 to 774 of the family's 1533-position model. The record is from RNAcentral.
UGGGGAAUAUUGGACAAUGGGCGAAAGCCUGAUCCAGCCAUGCCGCGUGAGUGAUGAAGGCCCUAGGGUUGUAAAGCUCUUUUGUGCGGGAAGAUAAUGACGGUACCGCAAGAAUAAGCCCCGGCUAACUCCGUGCCAGCAGCCGCGGUAAUACGAAGGGGGCUAGCGUUGCUCGGAAUCACUGGGCGUAAAGGGUGCGUAGGCGGGUUUCUAAGUCAGAGGUGAAAGCCUGGAGCUCAACUCCAGAACUGCCUUUGAUACUGGAAGUCUUGAGUUCGGGAGAGGUGAGUGGAACUGCGAGUGUAGAGGUGAAAUUCGUAGAUAUUCGCAAGAACACCAGUGGCGAAGGCGGCUCACUGGCCCGAUACUGACGCUCAUGCACGAAAGCGUGGGGAGCAAACA